CGGAACUCGGCAAAUUACCCCCGUAACUUCGGGAGAAGGGGGGCCACAGACUGUCAUACCCCACGCGGGUGGCAGCAGUAGGUGGCCGCAGAGACCAGGGGGAAGCGACUGUUUACUAAAAACACAGGUCCGUGCGAAGUCGUAAGACGAUGUAUACGGACUGACGCCUGCCCGGUGCUGGAACGUUAAGGGGACCGGUUAGUCCGCAAGGGCGAAGCUGAGAACUUAAGCGCCAGUAAACGGCGGUGGUAACUAUAACCAUCCUAAGGUAGCGAAAUUCCUUGUCGGGUAAGUUCCGACCUGCGCGAAUGGCGUAACGACUUCCCUACUGUCUCAACCACAGGCCCGGCGAAAUUGCACUACGAGUAAAGAUGCUCGUUACGCGCGGAAGGACGGAAAGACCCCGGGACCUUCACUAUAGCUUGACAUUGGUAUCCGAAUUUAAUUGUGUAGGAUAGGUGGGAGGCUUUGAUCCGCGGACGCCAGUCCGUCGGGGAGCCAACGUUGAAACACCACUCUGUUGACUUUGGGUAUCUAACUUCGGACCGUGAUCCGGUUCAGGGACAGUGUCUGGUGGGUAGUUUAACUGGGGCGGUUGCCUCCUAAAAUGUAACGGAGGCGCCCAAAGGUUCCCUCAGCCUGGUUGGCAAUCAGGUGUUGAGUGCAAGUGCACAAGGGAGCUUGACUGUGAGACUGACAGGUCGAGCAGGAACGAAAGUCGGGACUAGUGAUCCGGCACCUGCGAGUGGAAGCGGUGUCGCUCAACGGAUAAAAGGUACCCCGGGGAUAACAGGCUGAUCUUCCCCAAGAGUCCAUAUCGACGGGAUGGUUUGGCACCUCGAUGUCGGCUCGUCGCAUCCUGGGGCUGGAGUAGGUCCCAAGGGUUGGGCUGUUCGCCCAUUAAAGCGGCACGCGAGCUGGGUUUAGAACGUCGUGAGACAGUUCGGUCCCCAUCCUCCGCGCGCGUAGGAGACUUGAGAAGAGCUGUCCCUAGUACGAGAGGACCGGGACGGAUGAACCUCUGGUGUGCCAGUUGUCAUGCCAAUGGCACGGCUGGUUAGCUACGUUCGGAAGGGAUAACCGCUGAAAGCAUCUAAGCGGGAAGCUCGCUUCAAGAUGAGGUCUCCCACCCCUUAGAGGGUUAAGGCCCCCAGCUAGACCACUGGGUUGAUAGGCCAGAAGUGUAAGCCUGGUAACAGGUUCAGCCGACUGGUACUAAUAGGCCGAGGACUUCACUAU
RNAcentral lists this ribosomal RNA (1239 nucleotides) under metagenome. Its description in RNAcentral is "bacterial LSU rRNA". It matches the Rfam family "Bacterial large subunit ribosomal RNA", at positions 1708 to 2925 of the family's 2925-position model. The record is from RNAcentral.